RNAcentral lists this long non-coding RNA (496 nucleotides) under Homo sapiens (human). Its description in RNAcentral is "HSALNT0097046". Lineage: Eukaryota; Metazoa; Chordata; Mammalia; Primates; Hominidae. The record is from RNAcentral.
ACAUAAUAAUAGUACAUAUUUAUGGGAUACAGUGAUAUGUUGAUAGAUGCAUACAGGAUAUAAUGAUGAAAUCAGGUCCUUGGGAAAUUCUCCAAUCCUGUCUCCUGUCCUGGCCGGGUGUGCUCCUGGUGCACCAUUCGACUAAGUCAAUUUGAACUAUUUGGGAGACCUUUGUACCUACGUUUCCUUCUGCUUGGAAGAUCCUUUCUGUUUUGUCAGCUCUUACUUCCAUGUUGUGGAAAACUGAUCUGACCUCCUAGUCCUGAAUCAGGGGCCAUAAAGAAAAUUGAUGAGGACAACUGGCCUCCCAGUAUGUGGAUUCAGUUUCCAUAUGUCAAUUUACCAACUCCCACUGGUAGUCUGAAGAGAUAUGGCUACUGGAGAACAGAAAAUCACCAGUAUUAAUAAAAGCAAUUUUAAGUGUUUACCUUUUAGUAUUUGAAUAGCUUUGUUAAAGAGACGUACUCAAGAAUACUAUGAAGAGACUCUUAUUGUA